GGUCCUGUUUCACUACCCGCCUCCUGUAUGCAUUCUCUCUCGUUUGAUGUGUCCAAGUACAUCAUCCUCUGAGACUUGCUGCUGCUGCUGCUAAGGCACUUCAGUCAUGUCCGACUGUGUGCGACCCCAUAGACGGCAGCCCACCAGGCUCCGCCGUCCCUGAAAUUCUCCAGGCAAGAACACUGGAGUGGGUUGCCAUUGCCUUCUCCAGUGCAUGAAAGUGAAAAGUGAAAGUGAAGUCGCUCAGUCGUGUCUGACUCUUAGCGACCCCAUGGACUGCAGCCUACCAGGCACCUCCAUCCAUAGGAUUUUCCAGCCACGCCAAAAUCAGCAUGUGGGAUCUUAGUUCCCAGACCAGGGAUGGAGCUCACCCUGCAGUGGAAGUGCAGUCUUAACCACUAAACCCCCAGGGAAGUCCAAAGU
This is a long non-coding RNA of Bos taurus (domestic cattle), 423 nucleotides long. Lineage: Eukaryota; Metazoa; Chordata; Mammalia; Artiodactyla; Bovidae. The record is from Ensembl.